RNAcentral lists this ribosomal RNA (255 nucleotides) under uncultured bacterium. RNAcentral's name for it is "partial 16S ribosomal RNA". It matches the Rfam family "Bacterial small subunit ribosomal RNA", at positions 524 to 777 of the family's 1533-position model. The record is from RNAcentral.
UACGUAGGGUGCGAGCGUUAAUCGGAAUUACUGGGCGUAAAGCGUGCGCAGGCGGUUUUGUAAGUCUGUCGUGAAAUCCCCGGGCUCAACCUGGGAACUGCAUUUGUGACUGCAUCGCUGGAGUGCGGCAGAGGGGGAUGGAAUUCCGCGUGUAGCAGUGAAAUGCGUAGAUAUGCGGAGGAACACCGAUGGCGAAGGCAGCCCCCUGGGCCAAUACUGACGCUCAUGCACGAAAGCGUGGGGAGCGAAACAAGG